ACGCAUCACGCAUAGACACGCGCACGAGACGAAGCGAACAGGGCGUCACCUCUGCGAACCAUCUCAGCAUCGCUUGUGUGUUGAUAUCGACCCCUUUCUUCCGGUGUUACCGCGUGUCCUCUUCCUCGCUAGCUUGCCUCUGUAUGUGUGCGUGUGUGUGUGCGUCUUCGUCCCUCUCUCGGUGGCACGCACACGCGCACGAAGACAUGACAGGUGAUCCGGCGGUGGACGCGAAAAGUCACCACAAACUGAUCACAAAAACCAACGCGUGCAUGCGCAUCUUCUGACAAUCAUAGACCACGUCGCCGCGCAUCUUUAGUGUCUCUCCCUAACUCCAUCAUCGACUGAAUACGGAUCGAGUUGAGAAAAAGCAGGACAAGAACGGAAGCAGAACGCGUGCCAUUGAACUAGCGGUGACCUAUCACCGUAUCUGCAUCCCCACCCCUACCCCCUCAUCCUUCGCACAAGCAGCUCCUCCGCCUGCGCAUGUGGACGUCCAGUUGCCUUCGGCCAUACACACCAGCGCGCGCGCUCCUUUUCUCUUCCUCUCUCUUGCUCUUUGUAGUUCGGCACCGUACAGGUGCUCGGCUGUACGGGGAACAGCGCUGCUGCACCGUUGCGCGGUUGUUACUGCAAUCCCACGCACGCACGCUCGGCGAUCAUGUUCAAGAAGAAAAUUUCGAGCGUGACGACGGCGGUUGCCUCAGCGGCCGCAGCAACUGCAGCGGCGGCGAAGGUGCACGCCCCGGCAACGCGCGGCAGUAAAGCGAAGACGCUCGCUCUCAUCGAGAAGCAUCGAAAGAUUCUCGAAGAGGCAAGGCGUCAGAAAGAGGAGAUGGACCAGCUGACGCUCGAGCAAGGGGAGCUGCAGCAGCAGAAACUCACGCAUAUUACCGUUGCACCGCCGUCGCCUGCGACCUCAUCUGCGGCGUCAUCCGCAGCUGUGAAAGAAGAGCCGCCGCGAGACACUUUCACCGCCCUUGUCGAGCACUUUCUCGCCUCCACGCAGCCUCUCGCAGAUUUGGACGAGACCAUACAGGAGGCGGACAGCUCAUCCGGCGCUUCCAGCGAGGCGCCAUUCAAGUCACUACCGCCACGGCAGCCACGGUCGGCGACAGCCUCAGCCUCCCCCUCCAUCAUCACGUACCGCAGUUUCGCUGCAUCGCUCGUCUGCCCAAAGAAGCUUUUCCUCUUGCAGAAUCGCUCCGACCUCAUCCCCAAGGCCUCUCUCGGCGACAUGAUGCACUUCGAUGACAGCGUCGGCUUCAACGAGCUGGUGCGGCGGUGGGACCGGCUCCAGUUCGGCAGCCGCGCUGUGCUCGUGAAGGAGAACGAAUUCUACCAGGCGGUGCAGCGCACGGAGCAGCUCAUCACGACAUACUUCCAAGGCCCGUACAAGUCGCUCGCAGAGCAGGCGCCGUCGCUGACGAUUCACCGGCCGGCUUUCGCCGUCGAGUUCCCUGGCGGCGCGCAUCAAACGCGAGCUGACGGCCGCGGCUCCAGUGCUGCUGCCGCUGACUCGGCAGUCAUGGAGCUGCGCGCGCGUCCGGCUGUAGUGCGGUAUCGCCCAAAGGAGAAUCAGUGGGUCUUCCUCGAUUCCCAGGCCGUCAUUGACCCUCUCAGCAGUCCGAGCCGCAUCAGCAGCUUCGUCCAGCGAUUUCACUUCACGGCUCUGUGCUUCCGGCUGUGGUUGACGCAGCCGCACUUGCCCAUCGAAGUUCGAAAGAAAUUUUUGCAGGUGGACCUGGACAGCAUCACGUGCGAGAACUUGGGUGGCCGCUCACUGGAGUCCUCCGCACGCGCGGCGGCGCCGAUCGACCUGAAGCGCAGCGGGCUGCUGCACAUUCGCCAGUUCCUCCCCGGCCCGGCCACGCUGAUGGACUGCGACCCGCCUCGGCUUGUCAAGUUUAUCCAGCGAGUCUCCCUGGAGGAACUGAUAGCGGAGGACAGCAAGCACUACAGCAAGGAUGGUCGCGGGCGGCAGUACAGCAACGCCACCGCUCGCGCUGGAGGCGGCGGUGCGGACUACUUCUCGCAUCACGGUCUCGGUGGCGGCGGCGGCGCCGGUGGGGCGUUUGACCUGCGCAACUUUACCAGCGCCAUCGCUUCCCAUCCAGUCCUCGCCGGCCAUGCCGCGGAGGUUGAGCUGGCGGCUCUGGGACUCGGCGACUUUCACAACUCCCGCGCGACACGCAGCCAGCGCCACAAGGAUGAGGUGCAUCAUCGUCUCUUCGAGGCAGAGCAGCGCUUCAUGGAGGAGCUGCUGCGCCAGCACACCCUCCCCCUCGUGAAGCGCCAACAACAGCAGAUGGCCGCAUUUUCUUCCGCCGAGGGGCCAGCGAGCAGCCCCCUGACUGCCUUCUCGAACCUUCUGGGCGACGACGGCUUCGUGCGCGCCAGCUGCGCCGCCGACGCAGUGGACAACGGCAAGCACAAGAAGGGUGUGAAGUCGGCGGCCCAAAUAGUGAAAGGCGCGGCAGCAGGCGGCCGAGGGAAGCGAAAAGCCCCGGCGGCCGGCGAGGAUGAGGAAUCAAAGGCGGAGGCGGAGGCGGAGGAGGACGCUGGUGACGUCGGCAUGGGCGGCGGCGACAACAUAGAUUCUCCGUGCUACGCGCGGUACGUUGGCACUCACUGUCUGCGCGGCGGCGACGCGUGUCCGUUCUUUACCGAGGGCAUGUGUCUGCCUCGCAAGGUGGACAACGCGAUUGUGGCACGAGACAACCACCUCUUCACACUCCCGUCCACCUCCCUCGCACGCAAGGCGGCGUGGUGGGCGCAGGGCAAGCGCACUGUGCGCGACGUGCUCGCCGCGUACGAGCGAGGGGAAAGCGGGGUGCGGCUGACCAGUCCGCAAGUGCGCUACGCGAACGCCCUCCGACAAGGCAAGGUAGCGUUGAACCCGAAGGAAAUCGACGCCUUCUUCGACCGCAUUCAGUACCCGCUGUUCGUCAUCGAUUUUGAGGCCGUGCAGUUUGCCCUGCCGCCCUUUGCGAAGGAGGUGGCGUACCAGUCUAUCCCGUUCCAGUUCUCUCUGGACGUGUUCCAGCACGACGUCCUGACGGAGGAGCCAACGCACUACAACUACCUGCACUUUGGCAAGGGCUACUCGCCAAACACAGACCCCCGCCCAGCCUGCAUCGCUGAGCUCAUCCGGAUCGUGCGGCUGGAGCGGGAGAAGAAGCGAAAGGCGAUGGAGGCAUCUGGUGAGCUGGAGCGCAUUGCUUCCGCGCGCGCCGCGGAGGAGGCAGCGGCGGCGGAGGCGAGCGGACGCCGCCGACGACGGGGCAAGAUGCCGAAGCCGCCGAAAAUUACCAAAUCCAACCCGCUGGAGCAGCCGCUGCAUCCCUACGACGGCUGCUUCAUUGCGCACUUCGCCUCCUUCGAGAAGGCGUGCCUGGAGAAGCUGGGUCAGUUGGAGGAGAAGUACAAGGACGAGAUCAAGAGCUUCUGGUUCCUCGACACACUCGACCUCAUCAAGAAGGGAUACCUGCACCCCAACGCGCAUGGGUCGAACUCGCUCAAGAAGGUUCUGCCGGCGCUCUGCCCCGACUUCCAGUACGGCGUCUUUGGCUCAGAAGCGACGGUGAUGGUGACGGCAAAUGAUGGCUUGCUUGGUGUGGGUGGCAGAGGAAAUGCGGCGCCUGUGUCUGAUGCCUCCGUGGCCAAGGGCAGCGCCGGAGAGGGCCAGGACGAGCAGAAAGGCGAGAACGCGAUGGGCGUGUACCGGCUCUGGCAUCACAUGGAAGGCGGCGGCACCGUGCAGGACCUCGAGCGGGCGAAGCUGAGUCUCUCUGGCGGUACUCAGCAAACGCCGAACUGGUCCGAGAGCGUGCGCACCACCAUGACCAAGGAGGAGCGAGACCGCAUGUGGCAAACCCUGCGCAUUCAAUUGCUGGAGUACUGCUCCCUCGACACCAAGGCCCUGUACGAGAUUAUGCGCGAGAUCUACAAGGAGAGAGAGGCGGCAGCGGGGGUCAAGCCGCACGAUAAGACGGGGUGGGUACUCAUCGAUCCGGUGCCGCGCGAGGUGGACUUUUAGAACUCAGGUCUCUGCGCGCGUGUGGAGAGACGUAGACGGGUGCGGCCAUUGCUGCCUGCAGCCUUUCGUCUCUGACCUGCGUGCGUCCUGCCUGGCCUCCGCCGUCCUCUCCUCCCCUCGCUUCCGUAAGGCUGAGCAUUGUUGGGGGUUGCCUGGCUCAGCACGUACCACCACACCUCAGCGUCCUACGCGGGGCGACGUCUACGGAGGAGUAAGCGGCUGCAGCGUUCGAGCCGUGAAGAAGUCACCGUACAAUCCGUGAUAAGGCUUUAUGAGGUACAGCAUGUCCAUUCGUCCAUAGAGCAUGAGCCAAGCGUCGCUUGACCCCAGACAAGUCACAGGCCAUCCCCACCACCAUCCGCGUGGUGCGACGCCGCCGCAGACACGCAUGAAAGCAAUGCGCCGACCCGGUUGAGCACGCCCUCCCCCCCCUCUGCCUCGAGCUCUACCCAUCGUUGGGAUGGCACAAGCGUUGUGCACUGUAGCAGGCCGCUCCGACGCAGCGCCAUCCGGAGCCUGGCCCGCGGACAUCAGCAGCGAUAUGCCUCGCUCUGACCUUGCUACGUUGUCGGCACUUUGGCCCGGUCACCACCAGGCGUGGUUUGGCAUGGGGCAGGGAUAAGGGGGGCUGGGCCCUGCGAUACCACACUCUGAGCAGGUGCGUCCCCCCCCGCCCCGCCCUCCCUCAGCCGCCGUCAUGAGAGUCUGCGAAGAAGUGAGGAAUAAAGUGAAGGGCGAUGAAAGCGUCCGUAAAGGCUAAGUAGUUGCAGCGUGGAGGAGCGCCCUUACGUAUUCUUCGCCACCACCACCACCACCCUCUCAGCCCUUCCCACCGCGGGCCACGACGCCGGCCUGGGGUGAUGCUCCCUGCACACCGGUGCGUACAGUCGGAGCUGAGUGAGUAUAUUGUUUAUGUGUCUCACUGGUCGCCCUUUGCCCCUUCUGUCGUCGCCGUGCCCGCGUGAUGCCGCAUCUCUUUCCUCUCCUCUCCUCUCCCCUCCCCUCUCUUCCCUCUUUCUCUCGGGCUUUACGAAACAUGUCCUCUGCUCCGCGUCCGUCGAUGCGCACCCUCAG
Molecule: unclassified non-coding RNA, 5113 nt
Filed under: Leishmania donovani
Lineage: Eukaryota; Euglenozoa; Kinetoplastea; Trypanosomatida; Trypanosomatidae
Description: gene:LdHU3.11.0480(CDS-product:Domain_of_unknown_ function(DUF2779)_putative)
Source: RNAcentral